GUGGGCGUAGCUCAGCACGGUCAGAGCGCCGGUCUCCAAAACCGGAUGCCGCAGGUUCAACUCCUGUCGCCCAUG
RNAcentral lists this transfer RNA (75 nucleotides) under Micromonosporaceae bacterium. RNAcentral's name for it is "tRNA-Trp". It matches the Rfam family "tRNA". Rfam says of the family: Transfer RNA (tRNA) molecules are approximately 80 nucleotides in length. Their secondary structure includes four short double-helical elements and three loops (D, anti-codon, and T loops). Lineage: Bacteria; Bacillati; Actinomycetota; Actinomycetes; Micromonosporales; Micromonosporaceae. The record is from RNAcentral.